This is a long non-coding RNA of Bubalus bubalis (water buffalo), 568 nucleotides long. RefSeq lists it as uncharacterized. The record is from RefSeq and is a predicted model, not a curated record. The transcript has 2 exons. NCBI's taxonomy places the organism in Eukaryota, Metazoa, Chordata, Mammalia, Artiodactyla, Bovidae.
CUGUGAGUCAUCAUUUGCUCAUAAAUGUUACUGAGCGCCUACUGGAUGCCGGGGACACGGUGCUGGCCAGUGUCUCUGUCCUCCUGGAACGUGCAUUUGAAUGGGGGAGAUAGUGAAUGUGUGCAUGAAAAAGAAUAAAACAACAGAAGGCUUAGUUGCAAGUGUGAAUUCAUGUCCAAGGAUUCAUGAAAGCAUCAUAGACUGAGAAAGGGAAAGAUGGGUAGAUGUCCCAGAAAAUUCAGGUUAAAAAGACUUUUAUUGGAAGCGUCAUAGGCAUCCAGGAACACCUUGUAGAGUUUAUCUCUCCUUUCUUCUUCUGGAAGAACCUCAGGGGUCAUGCCAACAUUUAGUGGAAAUGUCAAAGCAUCACUGAAGUUCCUUAAGCCAAGGACAAGUGUUCAGGUUCCAGCCCUGCCAACGCCUGUGGUUUCACUUCCCUGCCAGCCUGUGGACUUAUUCAAACAACUCACUUGGUGCAUCUCAGUUCUUCCCUCGAAGAAUUGAUGCUUUGGAACUGUGGUACUGGAGAAGACUCUUGAGAUUCCCUUGGACAGCAAGGUGAUCAAAC